AAAUGAAAAAAUACUGGGAGAUGUGAUUCAUCAGUGGGAAUGGUUUACCUUAGGAUGGUUGAAGUGACUACUGUUCUCUCUAUGCUUCUUGGUCCUGUUGCAGAGACAGCUCAGCUAGCAGUAAAGUACCUGUGAACUGCUGUAACCUGACUGAUUAAGAAAAUCCUGUACAGAUUUUGGCUCUUCAAUACUUCAGGCUAUACUUAAGACAGUCUGGAUGCUCCUCCACAAUCAGCUAAGCUGUCCGUGACACAGCUUCCUUCCAUCUCUCAGGACUGAUGUGAUGCAGCAGGCUGCCCUCCAGGUCCCACCGCUACCCAAGUCCCCACCUCGCUCUGCCCGGCUCACCACUCCAGGAAUGGUUGAAAGAACAGAAACAUUGGACUUCUGACCUCCAUAGAGAAAAUGAUGAGCUUUGGCUCAUUUCUAUCAAUCACUCAGCAAUCUCAAGACACU
RNAcentral lists this long non-coding RNA (456 nucleotides) under Gallus gallus (chicken). Its description in RNAcentral is "long non-coding RNA NONGGAT002782". The record is from RNAcentral. Lineage: Eukaryota; Metazoa; Chordata; Aves; Galliformes; Phasianidae.